UACGUAGGGUGCAAGCGUUGUCCGGAAUUAUUGGGCGUAAAGAGCUCGUAGGCGGUUUGUCACGUCGGCUGUGAAAACCUGGGGCUCAACCCCGGGCCUGCAGCCGAUACGGGCAAGCUAGAGUUCGGCAGGGGAGACUGGAAUUCCUGGUGUAGCGGUGAAAUGCGCAGAUAUCAGGAGGAACACCGGUGGCGAAGGCGGGUCUCUGGGCCGAUACUGACGCUGAGGAGCGAAAGCGUGGGGAGCAAACAGG
This 253-nucleotide ribosomal RNA is filed under the name uncultured bacterium. RNAcentral's name for it is "partial 16S ribosomal RNA". It matches the Rfam family "Bacterial small subunit ribosomal RNA", at positions 524 to 776 of the family's 1533-position model. The record is from RNAcentral.